Molecule: long non-coding RNA, 4148 nt
Organism: Pipra filicauda (Wire-tailed manakin)
Lineage: Eukaryota; Metazoa; Chordata; Aves; Passeriformes; Pipridae
Exons: 2
Source: RefSeq, a predicted model, not a curated record
AAUUUAAGCCCCAGCAGGCAUUGGCAGCCUUGAUUGUGCUGGGAACAGUGAAUCCCGUGGCUCUCUUUUCCCAGACAUCCCCCCUUCCCUCACCCCAUGGAUUAGGGACCUGAGCUUGCCCAGCCCUGUGUUCACCCAUCAGCUCCACGUAGCUUAGCAACCAUCAAAUCCAUGUUUGCCAACGCUGACAUUCCACGGAGGAGACCGGGAAUACUCAGCAUCCCACUGAAAACAGUGAAGCUCCGGUGGGUGCCCUGGCUGUGGAUGUUUCCCUGGAAAUUUAGGGGCUUGCUGGAUAUGGAUUGCAGCCAGCAGAGCAAAUUCCAGCCUCUCCAUCCCGAAGAUACAACUCUGGAGACAAGGAGCCCAGGUAAGGUGGGAGCCACAGGUAAGUAAGUGUGCAGGUGGAUGAUCACCUUGCAAUAAAUGCAGGGAAAUCCCAGAUUCAGCUUCCUGAGACACCAUGGAGGGUUUUUCCAGCACAAAGAGGGAAAAAAACCCCCACAACAAACCAGAACCCAGAACCCUGAGGGGAAACAAGAUCUGACCUAUUUUUAUCUCAAGAACUGACUCCAGCUGAAGACUUGACUCCCCAGAGAAAAGCAAAUUCUCCAGGCCAAAUGUGACAUGUCACGUGAGGAAGGAUGUGGUUUUUCCACUUGGAUGUCCCUCCCUGCCUGCAUGCAGCUGACUUGGUGCUUGCAAAGAUGGGAAGAUAUUUUUAGCCCUGAAAUGCAGACCCAGGGCCAGGGACUGGCUGAGCCUGGCUUGAAAUCAUCCCGUGCUUCCCAAGGUGAGGAAUGUCUGGGUGGGCAAGCUCAGCACACGGUGCCUGUGUUGGGCAGUGGGCUAAUGGCCAUAAAUGAAUAUAAAAUGAGAUUGAAUACUUUGGUAACAUAACACACUGAUGGCAUGGAAUAAAAAGUAGGAAGCAACUUAAAACCAUGUCAUUCACCUGGAGUAACAUCAGGGUAAUCCACGUUCAUGGAUCAGGGAUGCAUCUAAUGACAGGGGUCAGGUGGGAAUUGUGCUUUGCAGCCCUGGUUGAUUUUUUUGGUCAGCUUUUUGGAGCACCAUCAGCCCCAGACUUGAUGGAGGGGUUGGUGCUCAGCUCCCUCACCUGCCUUGGUGUUGGUGUUUGUCCAUCAGUGAGAGCUUGAUUGGGUCCAUCUCCACCAGUUUGUCUGGGAUCCUGACAGGGAGCUGUAGGAUCAGAGCAGAUCUCUGUUCUGGGAGCAAAUCCUCUCGCCAGCUGGAGGGAGAUCCCGUUAUAACCCUUGAACUUGCAUCUUUCCAGCCCUGCUUUGGCCAACCCUCCUCUGAGAACACCUCAGGUGUGUUCCCCUGUUCCCCCGUUCCCCUGUGUGGGCUGCACACCAGUAGGUGCUGCCUGGUGCUGGCUGAGUGAGCCCUCCUGAUGGGCUAUUUCCCAUUAUCCCACCAACACACUGUGUUAUAAAUGGCAUUCCCAGGGCUGUGACAGUGGCCACAAUCAUUGUUCAGGUCCCUGCCUACUCUCAAACCGAGCCUUGCUUUGUCUUUGCCUCUGCAGGGCCCUGACGUGCUAAAAUUUUCCCCGAGUUUCCCUUACCCAGGUAGGAAUGGGAAAAGCAGCAAAACCCAUGCAGAAGCCAGAGUUCAUUAGCACCACUGCCCUGCAGCUCAGCCUCUCCUCCUCCUCCUCUCCUGGGCACCUGUAAUUCCACCCUGGAAUCCGCUGCAUCCCGACAUCCUCGACGCCUCGGUGCUGCCGGGCAUUUCCAGCAACAAGGCUUUGGGUGAGUGGCUCCAUCAGAGUUUUAUUCUGCCACAGGCUUCAAUUUUUGUGAGCUGCUUUAUCCUCACAAGGAUAAAACUCGACUCUGACCUCUAAUGAUCCUCCUAAUGAUAUGAGGGAAAAGGAACGAUGAUGAGCUGCCGAGGCUUAGCCCAUCUUCUGGAUUUUUUGGAGAUCCCUGAGGAGCAGGAGGCUGAGCGAGGAGGAAUGUGGACUCCUUUUGUUUUCUACUUUGCCUGUUUAUUAAGCCUUUUUUUCCUUAAAAGCAAGGAAGAAAAAGAGAAGUACCAACGUGCAUCUCGAGCACUGAAGUGCUGUGUACCAGGAAAUGACAAAAAGAUAUUUAUUACAUUUAUUACUUGCCCGGGUACCCAAGUUUUUUAAGCACACGGAGAGUUCCUGGGCACAUAUCAAAGCAAAAUGAUCACAGUGGAGUAGGAAGGGCAAAGAUGAAGAGGGGAGGCAGGGAGGAGGAUAUGGUUUGCUUUCACCCCUUUCGUCCGGGUCUCGUGAAGGUCCUUUGGUCACCCAGAAAUCGCCCUGUGUGGCUUGAAUGGGCACCAUCCUUUAAAAACCACGUUCCCUGGUCAAGGUGAUGUGCCUUUUGGGAGGGUUUUGUGACACAGCAGACCCCUCUUGCAGCCCACAGUGCUCCAGCUGGCCUCCUAUUUAAUGUGGCUCUCACUGCUGAUCGAUGGAUUCAGCAACAUCCACCCUCAUGCAGAACUCGUGGGAUCGUGCUCUGAUUCCAGAGCAGGAGCUUGGAAUAAAAGGGCACAGCCAAAACAUAUGUACAAACACACCUCUGCAGAGGCUGCUUUUGUAGUCACCACUCGGGGUGGAACUUUAACUUCAGGUUAGGGGUAAGAAUGUUGUUCUUUCUGUAAGACACAGCCCAAGGUCCAAGAAUAUUUCUUUAAUCACUUUAUCCCACCGUGGAUGAGGUAUUUGCUGUUAAUUCUUUAUCCCAUUCGUGCCUCUCUGCGCUCAUUAACUCUUUGGUGAGACAUUAGGGAAUCACAGAGUAAAACAGGCAUUCUGGAAGGGAUGGGAUUCUGACUGGGAGCAGUUCCUGGCUGAACCUUGAAGUCAGGAGGGGAAGAUUUUGAUUGUAUUGGCAGCACUUCCUAAUGCGCAUUGCAAUUUGGGAGGCAUAAACCCUAGGGUUUGUAAUCACUGGGUGCAUAAAAACUGCAUUUCAUAUAUUAUUCUCAUAUUUAACCUUUUUUUUUUAUUCCUUGUUUCUUUACGUGCCAGUUUUUUACAAGCCUGAGAUUCCCAUGAAUAGAGAAUAAAGUUGGAAUCUGCGCUGGCAAAAUAAACAGGUCAGGAUGAGACAGCUUAGGUGGUUAGUGGAGAUUAGGUUUUCUGGGAUCCACCUGUAACUUGCACCUAAAAAUGAGUGUGGAUGAAAAAAUAAACCUAUUAGAGGUGUUUCCUGUGUUGUUCUGUGAUGUCUUUUAUCCAUCGUGUGGCUUCAGUCACCAAAAUGCUUCUGUGGUCUUCCCUCAGAUUUGUAAAUCUGAAUUUGAGUGGUUUGAAUGACAACUGAAAUUACUCAAGGAAGAUACCUGGUUUUCCCUGUCCACCACCCCUUUUCAUUUAAUUAAUUAAUUUUAAAAACUCUGAUUGUCUCAGGGCAUGUGCCAAAGUUCUUUCUCGUUAGACCAAACCCAAAGUCUUUAAUCACCUUCUUUUUUUUUCUUUUUUUAAUAAAUGGAGUAUCAGACUGUGACCACGAGCCAGAUGAAAAGCAGAAUGUGGGAAGACAGGGCCGGAAAUUACUAAUUGCCCUCCAGUUAAAGGACUCAGCAGGAAUGGGCCCAGCGAUGGAUAAAUGGCUAUUCUUGAGUGAUUAUAGCUCUGGAUGCUGAACACAAAGUUCCUGCUGAAAGUUUCAUCAAAACCUUCCCGUGAAACCUGUUUGUUUUGAAAUAUUGGCAUUUUGUGAUGAAUAACAAUGUCACUGGAAAAAGUCCUGUUGGAAUAUUUGCAGUGGAGUCCCCUGAGCCUGUGUAUUAAUCCAGUCUCCUACACUAGGAUUUGGAUGGAUGUCAUAGAAUCUACAGGAUGGGUGAGGUUAGAAAGGACCACUGGAGGUCAUCUAGCCCAGCCUCUCUGCAGGAUCCACUCAGGAUUGUGUCUGACAACUUCUGAGUAUCUCCAGAGAAGGAGACUCCACAACCUCACUGGGGAGCCUGUUCCCAGAUGCCUCCCAUCCCUGCAGGACCUCCUUAGGAUGGUGACGACUCACAGUGACAACCCUUUCUGCUGGGGGUGGUGACCUGUGCCUUUGCCUGUGGGACCCAGAAGGACACUGGCAUGGUGAGCACCACACAUGCACCAAUAAAACACCACUGUUUUCCUUCGA